CGGCGGACGGGUGAGUAAUGCCUAGGAAUCUGCCUGGUAGUGGGGGACAACGUUUCGAAAGGAACGCUAAUACCGCAUACGUCCUACGGGAGAAAGCAGGGACCUUCGGGCCUUGCGCUAUCAGAUGAGCCUAGGUCGGAUUAGCUAGUCGGUGAGGUAAUGGCUCACCAAGGCGACGAUCCGUAACUGGUCUGAGAGGAUGAUCAGUCACACUGGAACUGAGACACGGUCCAGACUCCUACGGGAGGCAGCAGUC
Molecule: ribosomal RNA, 256 nt
Filed under: uncultured Pseudomonas sp.
Lineage: Bacteria; Pseudomonadati; Pseudomonadota; Gammaproteobacteria; Pseudomonadales; Pseudomonadaceae
Description: partial 16S ribosomal RNA
Rfam family: Bacterial small subunit ribosomal RNA
Source: RNAcentral